UCCCUGGUGGCUCAGAGGGUAAAGCAUCUGCCUGCAAUGCAGGAGACCUGGGUUUAAUCCCUGGGUCGGGAA
RNAcentral lists this transfer RNA (72 nucleotides) under Bos taurus (domestic cattle). It matches the Rfam family "tRNA". From Rfam's summary of the family: Transfer RNA (tRNA) molecules are approximately 80 nucleotides in length. Their secondary structure includes four short double-helical elements and three loops (D, anti-codon, and T loops). Lineage: Eukaryota; Metazoa; Chordata; Mammalia; Artiodactyla; Bovidae. The record is from Rfam by way of RNAcentral. RNAcentral also lists the same sequence under 3 other names.